UUCAGAUAUUUUGUAUUAUGUACUCUCGUUUCUCUCUCAGGAUAUUUUAGGGUUUCUUUUAUAAGGCUUUGAUUCACCUGAAUCAAAGCUUAGAUUAUGAGAUUCUUGUGUAUUUUGAAUCUUAGAUUGGUGUGAGAUUUGAGAGUUGUGUAUAUUUGUUCUUUAUAAUUUCAAAAUACUUUUAGGGAUACCACAAUCUUUGGUUUGGGUAUUCUGAGUUCAAUUGCUAAUUGAUACCAUAAUUUUCAUAUGGUAUCAGAGCUCUUGAAGCUCUUGAGUUGAAAUCUGGGUGUUGGGGUUUCAUUCAUCUUUCCAUUGUGAGUUCUUGGCUAGAGCUGAACUAGAUUGGGUGAUUCUUGAUCAGAUUUAAGAAGUCUUGGUAGUAUUUAUUGAUGCAGACUUCAGAUUUGUAAGAUCGGUGUAUUUCGAAAUGUGUACUGGUCAUCAGAGGGAAGACUUUUUCUAGGGUUUGCUAUCUUGGCGGGUCAGAAUUUAUUAAUAAUCAAAUGACUUUGUUGUAUAAAAGUUGUGAGCCGAGGAACUUUCAUGAGGCUGCUAAUGAUCCCAAUUGGGUGUUAGCCAUGAAUGAAGAGACUGAAGCUCUUCACAGAAAUGACACGUGAGAUUUAGUUGAAUUGCCUCCUGGUAGAAGUGUAGUUGACUGUAAGUGGAUAUACAAAAUAAAAUAUAAAUCCACUAUUGAAAUUGAAAAGUUUCAGGCUAGACUUGUUGCCAAAUGUUAUAGUAAAAAACAAGGUGUUGAUUUUGAUGAAACAUUUUCUCCUGUUGUUAAACUUGUAAUUGUUAGAUGUAUCUUAUCUCUAGCAGUUGAAACAAGUGGAAAUUAAAGCAGCUUGAUGU
This 861-nucleotide long non-coding RNA is filed under the name Helianthus annuus (common sunflower). Its description in RNAcentral is "hypothetical non coding rna". The record is from RNAcentral. Lineage: Eukaryota; Viridiplantae; Streptophyta; Magnoliopsida; Asterales; Asteraceae.